This 192-nucleotide unclassified non-coding RNA is filed under the name rhizosphere metagenome. Its description in RNAcentral is "partial ribosomal RNA internal transcribed spacer region". The record is from RNAcentral.
GAAAUAAACCUGAUGGGUUGUUGCUGGUUCUCUAGGGAGCAUGUGCACGCCUUGUCAUCUUUAUAUCUCCACCUGUGCACCUUUUGUAGGCCUUCCAGGUCUAUGUUGCUUUUCCAUUUACCCCAAUGUAUGUUAAUAGAAUGUUGUGCAUAUAAAAUCUAUACAACUUUCAGCAACGGAUCUCUUGGCUCU